Bufo bufo (common toad) is the source of this 146-nucleotide long non-coding RNA. RefSeq lists it as uncharacterized. The transcript is spliced from 3 exons. NCBI's taxonomy places the organism in Eukaryota, Metazoa, Chordata, Amphibia, Anura, Bufonidae. The record is from RefSeq and is a predicted model, not a curated record.
GUGAGAAGCUUAAUUUCACUCACGCUCCGUGGUCAUGUGAUUUAAACGAAUCCUCGAUGCAGAAAAACUGCAUAGAGGAUUUUUUUGCCUCGAUUACAUCGAUUAAAUCGAUGAAUCGUUUCAGCCCUAGUCCCAUAUUACUGCAU